UACGAAGGGGGCUAGCGUUGCUCGGAAUCACUGGGCGUAAAGCGCGCGUAGGCGGGUUCUUAAGUCAGGGGUGAAAUCCUGGAGCUCAACUCCAGAACUGCCUUUGAUACUGGGAAUCUCGAGUCCGGGAGAGGUGAGUGGAACUGCGAGUGUAGAGGUGAAAUUCGUAGAUAUUCGCAAGAACACCAGUGGCGAAGGCGGCUCACUGGCCCGGUACUGACGCUGAGGUGCGAAAGCGUGGGGAGCAAACAGG
This 253-nucleotide ribosomal RNA is filed under the name uncultured bacterium. Its description in RNAcentral is "partial 16S ribosomal RNA". It matches the Rfam family "Bacterial small subunit ribosomal RNA", at positions 524 to 776 of the family's 1533-position model. The record is from RNAcentral.